AAAAAAGCAAGAGUAGUCUCUGACAAAUUAAAACAUCUAUGCAUAUAGUCAAAGUCCAAUAAAUCUUCAGGUCAAGAUUUUGUUCUGGGAAUCGCUUUACUCAAGAAGAAUGUUGGGACCGGUGGUUUCUCUUCUUCCUCAUGCUUCUCGGCAAGGCAGUAGACUAGUGGCUCGUCGUGGUAAUUGGCUUUUUGUGUUUAAGUAGCAUAUCAAAUUUUCCCUUUCGUUUUCUUCUGGAUUUUUGGGGUCAAUGGUGGUCUCUGCCAGUCUUGGGAAAUGGUUUGGUGGCUACGGUGAGUGGUUUUUCGAUUCUAUGCAGUAUCGCCGAGAUUUGGUUUCUUCAUCGCUUUAUUCGAGUGUACUUUGGUGGUUCUUCGACCACAGAGUCUGUUGUGAGUUCAAGUGCACAUUCAGAAAUGAUAUUUGGCUCAAUCCCAACUCGUGUAGUGUGGAGAGUUGUAUCGACAAUUGUUGCCUAUGGUUCCUAAGUAACUUGUCAAGAUGGAUUUCCUUUGUGCAGCUUUUUUUCUUAUUCCUCCGAAAAUGACUCUUGUUGUGUAGUGUUUCUUAUGUUGUAUUUGUUCUUGUUUUGUCUUUAUUGACACUGGAUGACAGAUUUUCACAGCUUAGAGUUUUGUUCUUUGGUU
This is a long non-coding RNA of Raphanus sativus (radish), 647 nucleotides long. RefSeq lists it as uncharacterized. The transcript has 2 exons. The record is from RefSeq and is a predicted model, not a curated record. NCBI's taxonomy places the organism in Eukaryota, Viridiplantae, Streptophyta, Magnoliopsida, Brassicales, Brassicaceae.